UACGUAGGGCGCAAGCGUUGUCCGGAUUGACUGGGCGUAAAGCGCACGCAGGCGGAUGCGCGCGUGGGGUGUGAAAUCUGGCCGCUUAACGGCCAGGCGCCAUCCCAUACGGCGCGUCUGGAGUGAUGCAGAGGUCGAUGGAAUUGCCGGUGUAGUGGUGAAAUGCGUAGAGAUCGGCAGGAACACCCAGGGGGAAACCAGUCGACUGGGCAUCUACUGACGCUGAGGUGCGAGAGCGUGGGGAGCGAACCGG
RNAcentral lists this ribosomal RNA (253 nucleotides) under uncultured bacterium. RNAcentral's name for it is "partial 16S ribosomal RNA". It matches the Rfam family "Bacterial small subunit ribosomal RNA", at positions 524 to 776 of the family's 1533-position model. The record is from RNAcentral.